GCCUAACACAUGCAAGUCGAACGCUGUAGCAAUACAGAGUGGCAGACGGGUGAGUAACGCGUGGGAACGUGCCUUUCGGUUCGGAAUAACUCAGGGAAACUUGAGCUAAUACCGGAUACGCCCUUCGGGGGAAAGAUUUAUUGCCGAAAGAUCGGCCCGCGUCCGAUUAGCUAGUUGGUGUGGUAAUGGCGCACCAAGGCGACGAUCGGUAGCUGGUCUGAGAGGAUGAUCAGCCACACUGGGACUGAGACACGGCCCAGACUCCUACGGGAGGCAGCAGUGGGGAAUAUUGGACAAUGGGCGCAAGCCUGAUCCAGCCAUGCCGCGUGAGUGAUGAAGGCCCUAGGGUUGUAAAGCUCUUUCGCCAGGGACGAUAAUGACGGUACCUGGAUAAGAAGCCCCGGCUAACUUCGUGCCAGCAGCCGCGGUAAUACGAAGGGGGCUAGCGUUGUUCGGAAUCACUGGGCGUAAAGCGCACGUAGGCGGAUCUUUAAGUCAGGGGUGAAAUCCCGAGGCUCAACCUCGGAACUGCCUUUGAUACUGGAGGUCUCGAGUCCGGGAGAGGUGAGUGGAACUGCGAGUGUAGAGGUGAAAUUCGUAGAUAUUCGCAAGAACACCAGUGGCGAAGGCGGCUCACUGGCCCGGAACUGACGCUGAGGUGCGAAAGCGUGGGGAGCAA
RNAcentral lists this ribosomal RNA (679 nucleotides) under uncultured type II methanotroph T2-09. RNAcentral describes it as "bacterial SSU rRNA". It matches the Rfam family "Bacterial small subunit ribosomal RNA", at positions 46 to 771 of the family's 1533-position model. Lineage: Bacteria; Pseudomonadati; Pseudomonadota; Alphaproteobacteria; Hyphomicrobiales; Methylocystaceae. The record is from RNAcentral.